GACGAACGCUGGCGGCGUGCCUAAUACAUGCAAGUUGAGCGCUGAAGGUUGGUACUUGUACCAACUGGAUGAGCAGCGAACGGGUGAGUAACGCGUGGGGAAUCUGCCUUUGAGCGGGGGACAACAUUUGGAAACGAAUGCUAAUACCGCAUAAAAACUUUAAACACAAGUUUUAAGUUUGAAAGAUGCAAUUGCAUCGCUCAAAGAUGAUCCCGCGUUGUAUUAGCUAGUUGGUGAGGUAAAGGCUCACCAAGGCGAUGAUACAUAGCCGACCUGAGAGGGUGAUCGGCCACAUUGGGACUGAGACACGGCCCAAACUCCUACGGGAGGCAGCAGUAGGGAAUCUUCGGCAAUGGACGAAAGUCUGACCGAGCAACGCCGCGUGAGUGAAGAAGGUUUUCGGAUCGUAAAACUCUGUUGGUAGUGAAGAACGUUGGUGAGAGUGGAAAGCUCAUCAAGUGACGGUAACUACCCAGAAAGGGACGGCUAACUACGUG
Molecule: ribosomal RNA, 497 nt
Filed under: uncultured bacterium
Lineage: Bacteria
Description: partial 16S ribosomal RNA
Rfam family: Bacterial small subunit ribosomal RNA
Source: RNAcentral